RNAcentral lists this ribosomal RNA (253 nucleotides) under uncultured bacterium. Its description in RNAcentral is "partial 16S ribosomal RNA". It matches the Rfam family "Bacterial small subunit ribosomal RNA", at positions 524 to 776 of the family's 1533-position model. The record is from RNAcentral.
UACGUAGGGCGCAAGCGUUGUCCGGAAUUAUUGGGCGUAAAGAGCUCGUAGGCGGCUUGUCACGUCGGGUGUGAAAGCCCGGGGCUUAACCCCGGGUCUGCAUUCGAUACGGGCUAGCUAGAGUGUGGUAGGGGAGAUCGGAAUUCCUGGUGUAGCGGUGAAGUGCGCAGAUAUCAGGAGGAACACCGGUGGCGAAGGCGGAUCUCUGGGCCAUUACUGACGCUGAGGAGCGAAAGCGUGGGGAGCGAACAGG